AUGUUUUUAUUGUUGUUUUGUUUUGUAUACAAGGAGGGAGUGAUUGUUAUAAAUAAAAUGGUUUGUUCAGUUCACUGGUGUUGUAAUCAUUGUGUCAAAAACAAAAGUAUAACAGGAAAUAAAUAUCGGUUCGGCAUAUCGAUUAUCAGGCACAUAAACAUCCAAAUAACUGGUAUCGGUUAUAAAAAGAAAUCAAUAUUGGUUGAUAUUAUUGAUAGUAUUGAUAUGUGAAAUCAGUACUACACUGAUAAAAAUUAUUUUGUGGUGAAGUAAAUACUUCAUAAAAACUUGUAAUUUCUACAUGAAAUAAUUAAGUUCAGGCAAGAAUAAAAAAAAAAGAGUCAAUCUAUAUUGUCAAAUCUACAAGCUCAAAUUUCAAUUUAAGCUUGUAGAAAUUAAAAUUUGAACUAAUACAUUUAUUUUACUUGGAAUUGUUAAUGUUUACAAGAAUUCUUUAAGUAAAUAUCAAAGUUAUGAUCCUGUUUUUCCCACCAUGCACUUGGGCAUGAACAAUUAAAAAUGUAAAAAUUGUCACUUUUUUCGAGUUGUAUUUACACUGUUUUAUCGUUGCUUUUGAAGUUAGGUUUAGUAACUUACUAUUUUGUAACAUCUGGAGUUCAUUUUCUACUCAAAAUGACCCAUUAAUUCUCAAACAAUAUCCACUGAUUGUACCGUCAUUGCACUUGAAUAAAGUUAAAGGUGCAAUUUGCCGAUUGUCCUGCAGUUGACCGCAUAAAUCUGUCUUCUUACGAUGCACUUGGGGCUCUACAAUUACUCCAGACCACUCGUAGAUCUAUAAUGAUUUUCAAGUGCUACUUAAGUUACGCAGGAACUCUGUCCUUCUAGUGUCUCUGACACAAUGACCCUCAUUUACAGAGUCCACACCACAUUCUCUCAGCCCCUCUGGGUUUUGGGCUAGUUUAUAUUAUACAGAUGAUGUUGAUUUAUAUGGUUUUUGUUCAACCGUGACACUUUGUGACCUAAAAAUAUAGAUGGCACAUAAAUUCUGCAAAUAUUGUGAGAUAUUUUCAAAAUAUCAUUAUCAUCACAUGCUGAAGUGUUGUGAAAUACAUGAAGACUGAUAGGCUUUAUCGGCAGAUAAGUUAAGAGUGACUCUUCAAGGACCAGCACCACCUCCUCUUGUAACACUUUUUGAAGAAUUUAGCUUCAAGAAUCUGGCAGUGAGUUUUGGGAGUUCAUUUUUAGUCCAUUUCUGCAAGACAGACUUUUCAGGAUAGGAGAUGGAUUAAAAAUGAUUUCCCAAAUCUUUCCUCAGAUUCUUGAAGAUAAAUUCUUCAAACAGUACUAGAGGAUGUAGUGCUGGUCAUUCAAGAGUCUCUCUCAACUUAUCUGUGUAUAAGGCCAAUAAAAGUCUUAAUAUAUUUUACUACACUUCAGCAUGUGAUUCUGAUUAAGUUAGGGUCAUUUUUUUAGGUUUCUUUAGCUAACCUAAGUCCCUGAGAACCUGUUACCUGACACAUUGCACUUCUGGAGACUCCAGGAAGGUUGUCAUUCUGGAAAAUGGUGGCACUGGAGACUAAAUGGUUCCUGAUGGUUUUACACCUUAUUUUUCACCUUAAUUCUUUUGCCAUUAACAUGUGUCUUUUCCUCUCCACCGUUUUUUUUUUCUUUUUUUUUCCUCUGACCCACUGAGCAUUAUGUUGUCAAAUGGUCAUGCCUUAGCUUUGCAAUUUCUGUAUUUUAUUAGUUUUGAAUUUGUCAUGGGCAUUUAAUAGUUUUUGACUUUUCAGUAUGAGUUAAAUCUAUCUUUUUUUUUUCUUUUUUGGCUCAAUUUAUCUGUAAAAGAAAACCUGCUUAAUAAUUAUGCACACCUGAUAUAAUGCAUUUUUCACUUCCAGCCUUCAUGGACAAUUAUAUAUCACUUAUAAAUGAUUAAAUACAAAAUUAUUAGUAUUAUUAAGAUUGAUUUGGUUUGGAUUUGGUCAAAUGUGCUUGGGAAAAAAAUAUGAUCAGAAUAUCAACUUGCAUAAUUAUGCACGCUCUAUUUUUCCUAAUUUUAUAGGCUACAGUUGAUUAGUUACAAUCAUUAAUUAAG
Molecule: long non-coding RNA, 2056 nt
Organism: Cyprinus carpio carpio
Lineage: Eukaryota; Metazoa; Chordata; Actinopteri; Cypriniformes; Cyprinidae
Source: Ensembl